GAGUUUGAUCCUGGCUCAGGAUGAACGCUAGCGGCAGGCCUAAUACAUGCAAGUCGAGGGGUAACAGGAAAGCUUGCUUUCGCUGACGACCGGCGCACGGGUGCGUAACGCGUGCAACCUUCCUAUUACAGAGGGAUAGCCCGGAGAAAUUCGGAUUAAUACCUCAUAGUAUCACAAGACGGCAUCAGAAAGUGAUUAAAGAUUUAUCGGUAAUAGAUGGGCAUGCGUAAGAUUAGCUAGUUGGUAAGGUAAUGGCUUACCAAGGCUACGAUCUUUAGGGGGUCUGAGAGGAUGAUCCCCCACACUGGUACUGAGACACGGACCAGACUCCUACGGGAGGCAGCAGUGAGGAAUAUUGGUCAAUGGGCGAAAGCCUGAACCAGCCAUGCCGCGUGAAGGAUGACGGCCCUAUGGGUUGUAAACUUCUUUUGUAUAUGAAGAACGUGUCGUACGUGUACGAUUUUGACGGUAAUAUACGAAUAAGUAUCGGCUAACUCCGUGCCAGCAGCCGCGGUAAUACGGAGGAUACAAGCGUUAUCCGGAUUCAUUGGGUUUAAAGGGUGCGUAGGCGGAAUAAUAAGUCAGUAGUGAAAUCCUGCAGCUUAACUGUAGAACUGCUAUUGAUACUGUUAUUCUUGAAUAUAGUUGAGGUAGGCGGAAUGUAUAAUGUAGCGGUGAAAUGCUUAGAUAUUAUACAGAACACCGAUUGCGAAGGCAGCUUACUAAGCUAUUAUUGACGCUGAGGCACGAAAGCGUGGGGAGCGAACAGGAUUAGAUACCCUGGUAGUCCACGCCGUAAACGAUGAUUACUGGUUGUUGGCGAUACACUGUCAGCGACUAAGCGAAAGCAUUAAGCAUUCCGCCUGGGGAGUACGGUCGCAAGAUUAAAACUCAAAGGAAUUGACGGGGGCCCGCACAAGCGGAGGAACAUGUGGUUUAAUUCGAUGAUACGCGAGGAACCUUACCUGGGCUUAAAUGUAGAGUGAUUUUUACUGGGAAACUAGUAUUCCUUCGGGCACUUUACAAGGUGCUGCAUGGUUGUCGUCAGCUCGUGCCGUGAGGUGUCGGGUUAAGUCCCAUAACGAGCGCAACCCCUAUUGUUAGUUGCCAGCGGAUAAUGCCGGGGACUCUAACGAAACUGCCGGUGUAAACCGUGAGGAAGGUGGGGAUGACGUCAAAUCAGCACGGCCCUUAUGUCCAGGGCUACACACGUGUUACAAUGGUCGAUACAAAGGGCAGCUACCUGGUGACAGGAUGCUAAUCUCUAAAAUCGAUCUCAGUUCGGAUCGAAGUCUGCAACUCGACUUCGUGAAGUUGGAUUCGCUAGUAAUCGGAUAUCAGCAAUGAUCCGGUGAAUACGUUCCCGGGCCUUGUACACACCGCCCGUCAAGCCAUGGAAGCUGGGGGUACCUGAAGUCUGUAACCGCAAGGAGCGGCCUAAGGUAAAACUGGUGACUGGGGCUAAGUCGUAACAAGGUAGCCGUA
RNAcentral lists this ribosomal RNA (1485 nucleotides) under uncultured prokaryote. RNAcentral's name for it is "partial 16S ribosomal RNA". It matches the Rfam family "Bacterial small subunit ribosomal RNA". The record is from RNAcentral.